Molecule: long non-coding RNA, 335 nt
Filed under: Fukomys damarensis (Damara mole-rat)
Lineage: Eukaryota; Metazoa; Chordata; Mammalia; Rodentia; Bathyergidae
Description: lncRNA (ENSFDAG00000021593.1)
Source: RNAcentral
AAAGUAGGAAGAUGGCAUCUCCAGGUGGGGCACCCAGAGAAGGAUAUCAUCUGCUGUUUCCACAACAUCUGAUGACUCUACUGGGCCUUUCCUAUGUCACCGGCACAAGCUUUAAUAUUUACAGCAAUAAUGUAAUGUGCAUCCGUGGAACACAACUCGACAUUAACCUCGGAACGGGAGUAGCAACUGUGCACGUACAUGAGCGUCCUCGCUGCCCCAUCCCAUCCUGCCAGUGCCCCUCUGCGGCCCCAGAUGCACCCUGAAUCAUCAUUCCCAUGCUUACACUUUUAUUUAGCUUUGUCUUAUCUUUAGAGUCUUUUAAAAGAUGCCCAACC